AUGGCGAAGCUUCUUGGUCGAGAUUUCAGCAGGGCUUUGACAACAAUGCGAGGGACAUCCGGAUACCUUGCACCGGAGUGGAUAUCAGGACUGCCGAUCACAUGUAAGACUGAUGUUUACAGCUAUGGUAUGAUGCUUCUUGAAAUCAUAUCUGGUCGAAGGAAUGCGGAGAAAUUUAAGGAAGGGAAGUUCACAUACUUUCCUAUCUUUGCGGCAAUCAAGGUGAGUGAAGGAGAUGUUAUGUGUCUGCUGGACAGUAGGUUGGAAGGCCAGGCAGAUGUAGAGCAGCUGAGCAGAGCUUGCAAAAUCGCGUGCUGGUGCAUUCAAGAUGCCGAGGAUGAUAGGCCGAUGAUGGGACAAGUUGUUCACAUGCUGGAGAAUGUCAUGGAUGUGGAAAUCCCUCAUAUUCCAAGGUCGCUUGAAAAUUAUGUUGGCAUGGAGGAUUGCUCUUACUCUGCGAAACCAGAUAACUUGUUCUAA
Molecule: ribosomal RNA, 480 nt
Filed under: Triticum aestivum (bread wheat)
Lineage: Eukaryota; Viridiplantae; Streptophyta; Magnoliopsida; Poales; Poaceae
Description: partial small subunit ribosomal RNA
Source: RNAcentral